CAGUAGCCGCGGUAAUACGGAGGAUGCAAGCGUUAUCCGGAAUCAUUGGGUUUAAAGGGUCCGUAGGCGGUUUAAUAAGUCAGUGGUGAAAGCCCAUCGCUCAACGAUGGAACGGCCAUUGAUACUGUUGAACUUGAAUUAUUAGGAAGUAACUAGAAUAUGUAGUGUAGCGGUGAAAUGCUUAGAGAUUACAUGGAAUACCAAUUGCGAAGGCAGGUUACUACUAAUAUAUUGACGCUGAUGGACGAAAGCGUGGGGAGCGAACAGGAUUAGAGACCCCUGUAGUCCCUGUCUCUUAUAC
This 301-nucleotide ribosomal RNA is filed under the name uncultured bacterium. RNAcentral describes it as "partial 16S ribosomal RNA". It matches the Rfam family "Bacterial small subunit ribosomal RNA", at positions 509 to 807 of the family's 1533-position model. The record is from RNAcentral.